This 309-nucleotide ribosomal RNA is filed under the name Lysinibacillus sphaericus OT4b.31. Its description in RNAcentral is "bacterial SSU rRNA". It matches the Rfam family "Bacterial small subunit ribosomal RNA", at positions 1 to 296 of the family's 1533-position model. Lineage: Bacteria; Bacillati; Bacillota; Bacilli; Caryophanales; Bacillaceae. The record is from RNAcentral.
UUUUAUGGAGAGUUUGAUCCUGGCUCAGGACGAACGCUGGCGGCGUGCCUAAUACAUGCAAGUCGAGCGAAUGAUGAGGAAGCUUGCUUCCUCUGAUUUAGCGGCGGACGGGUGAGUAACACGUGGGCAACCUACCUUAUAGUUUGGGAUAACUCCGGGAAACCGGGGCUAAUACCAAAUAAUCUCUUUUACUUCAUGGUGAAAGACUGAAAGACGGCAUCUCGCUGUCGCUAUAGGAUGGGCCCGCGGCGCAUUAGCUAGUUGGUGAGGUAACGGCUCACCAAGGCGACGAUGCGUAGCCGACCUGAG